This is a long non-coding RNA of Carlito syrichta (Philippine tarsier), 605 nucleotides long. RefSeq lists it as uncharacterized. NCBI's taxonomy places the organism in Eukaryota, Metazoa, Chordata, Mammalia, Primates, Tarsiidae. The transcript has 2 exons. The record is from RefSeq and is a predicted model, not a curated record.
GAGGCGCCUCGUCCUGGGGACCUCUUUCCACUCUUUACUCUCAAGAUAGGAGGAUGGGGCCGAGGGAUUCUUUUUGGUUUUCUGGUUUUGUUUUGCUCUGGUUUGGUCGGUUUUGUAUUUUUUCUAUUUUUCCUUUUUCUACCUUUUUUGCUUUUUUGCCAUUUCUUUCCGGUUAUUCUCCCAGCCAAAAGCUGCCUUCGACCCUUUUGAUUUGAUGUAGAAAAGAGUGUGUGUCCAGAUUAUCUGAAAUUGACACUGAAGAAGUCCCCAAACAAGCUACACAGAGGGUCGGGCAAAACGGCCCGGGCUCCGGAGAUGGGCGGCCGGGCAGGACCCGCGCCGCGCGGACCUGGUGGCUCUGCAGAGGCCGCAGAAGGAGGACAGCGGACAGACGAGGACUUGACUUUAUCAGCUCAAGGACAGAGCAAAAGGAGACAGGAGACGGACAACAGAAAAGAGCUCUUGCUUUUUCUACAUUGUUUUGUAGGGUGGUUUUUUUUUUUUCUUUUUCUUUUUCUUUUUCCUGAUAGUCCCGCAAAGCUGAGGGUCGGCGGGUCGGGUCGAGCGGGUGUGUGCUGCUGCUCUCGCUUGUCUCAGGUGGCUGU